UUACCCGCAGAAGAAGCACCGGCUAACUCCGUGCCAGCAGCCGCGGUAAUACGGAGGGUGCAAGCGUUAAUCGGAAUUAUUGGGCGUAAAGGGCUCGUAGGCGGUUGAUCGCGUCGGAAGUGGAAACUUGAUGCUUAACGUUGAGCGUGCUUUCGAUACGGGUUGACUUGAGGAAGGUAGGGGAGAAUGGAAUUCCUGGUGGAGCGGUGGAAUGCGCAGAUAUCAGGAGGAACACCAGUGGCGAAGGCGGUUCUCUGGACCUUUCCUGACGCUGAGGAGCGAAAGCGUGGGGAGCGAACAGGCUUAGAUACCCUGGUAGUCCACGCUGUAAACGGUGGGUACUAGGUGUGGGGUCCAUUCCACGGAUUCCGUGCCGUAGCUAACGCAUUAAGUACCCCGCCUGGGGAGUACGGCCGCAAGGCUAAAACUCAAAGGAAUUGACGGGGCCCCGCACAAGCGGCGGAGCAUGCGGAUUAAUUCGAUGCAACGCGAAGAACCUUACCUGGGUUUGACAUGGAUCGGGAGCUUCCAGAGAUGGUUGUGCCUCUUUUGGGGUCGGUUCACAGGUGGUGCAUGGCUGUCGUCAGCUCGUGUCGUGAGAUGUUGGGUUAAGUCCCGCAACGAGCGCAACCCUCGUCCACUGUUGCCAGCAAUUCGGUUGGGGACUCAGUGGAGACCGCCGGGGUCAACUCGGAGGAAGGUGGGGAUGACGUCAAGUCAUCAUGCCCCUUAUGUCCAGGGCUUCACGCAUGCUACAAUGGCCGGUACAGUGAGUUGCGAUAUCGUAAGGUGGAGCGAAUCUCAAAAAGCCGGUCUCAGUUCGGAUUGGGGUCUGCAACUCGACCUCAUGAAGUCGGAGUCGCUAGUAAUCGCAGAUCAGCAACGCUGCGGUGAAUACGUUCCCGGGGCUUGUACACACCGCCCGUCAAGUCAUGAAAGUCGGUAACACUCGAAGCCGGUGGCCUAACACUUUUUGUGGGGGAGCUGUCGAAGGUGGGACUGGUGAUUAGGACUAAGUCGUAACAAGGUAGCCGUACCGGAAGGUGCGGCUGGAUCACCUCCUUU
RNAcentral lists this ribosomal RNA (1065 nucleotides) under Clostridioides difficile. Its description in RNAcentral is "bacterial SSU rRNA". It matches the Rfam family "Bacterial small subunit ribosomal RNA", at positions 475 to 1533 of the family's 1533-position model. The record is from RNAcentral. Lineage: Bacteria; Bacillati; Bacillota; Clostridia; Peptostreptococcales; Peptostreptococcaceae.